AAUCAGUGUGUGUGUUAGUGGAAGCGUCUGGAAAGGCGCGCGAUACAGGGUGACAGCCCCGUACACAAAAAUGCACAUGCUGUGAGCUCGAUGAGUAGGGCGGGACACGUGGUAUCCUGUCUGAAUAUGGGGGGACCAUCCUCCAAGGCUAAAUACUCCUGACUGACCGAUAGUGAACCAGUACCGUGAGGGAAAGGCGAAAAGAACCCCGGCGAGGGGAGUGAAAAAGAACCUGAAACCGUGUACGUACAAGCAGUGGGAGCACAGAGCAAUCUGUGUGACUGCGUACCUUUUGUAUAAUGGGUCAGCGACUUAUAUUCUGUAGCAAGGUUAACCGAAUAGGGGAGCCGAAGGGAAACCGAGUCUUAACUGGGCGUUAAGUUGCAGGGUAUAGACCCGAAACCCGGUGAUCUAGCCAUGGGCAGGUUGAAGGUUGGGUAACACUAACUGGAGGACCGAACCGACUAAUGUUGAAAAAUUAGCGGAUGACUUGUGGCUGGGGGUGAAAGGCCAAUCAAACCGGGAGAUAGCUGGUUCUCCCCGAAAGCUAUUUAGGUAGCGCCUCGUGAAUUCAUCUCCGGGGGUAGAGCACUGUUUCGGCAAGGGGGUCAUCCCGACUUACCAACCCGAUGCAAACUGCGAAUACCGGAGAAUGUUAUCACGGGAGACACACGGCGGGUGCUAACGUCCGUCGUGAAGAGGGAAACAACCCAGACCGCCAGCUAAGGUCCCAAAGUCAUGGUUAAGUGGGAAACGAUGUGGGAAGGCCCAGACAGCCAGGAUGUUGGCUUAGAAGCAGCCAUCAUUUAAAGAAAGCGUAAUAGCUCACUGGUCGAGUCGGCCUGCGCGGAAGAUGUAACGGGGCUAAACCAUGCACCGAAGCUGCGGCAGCGACACUGUGUGUUGUUGGGUAGGGGAGCGU
This 922-nucleotide ribosomal RNA is filed under the name Escherichia coli. RNAcentral's name for it is "partial 23S ribosomal RNA". It matches the Rfam family "Bacterial large subunit ribosomal RNA", at positions 315 to 1239 of the family's 2925-position model. Lineage: Bacteria; Pseudomonadati; Pseudomonadota; Gammaproteobacteria; Enterobacterales; Enterobacteriaceae. The record is from RNAcentral.